Molecule: ribosomal RNA, 513 nt
Filed under: uncultured bacterium
Lineage: Bacteria
Description: bacterial SSU rRNA
Rfam family: Bacterial small subunit ribosomal RNA
Source: RNAcentral
GAUCUGGCUCAGGAUGAACGCUAGCUACAGGCUAACACAUGCAAGUCGAGGGGCAGCAUGUUGGUUGCUUGCAACCAAUGAUGGCGACCGGCGCACGGGUGAGUAACGCGUAUCCAACCUUCCCUAUAGUAGAGGAUAGCCCGGCGAAAGUCGGAUUAAUACUCUAUGUUUUCCAAUGCAGACAUCUAAGUUGGAACAAAGGUUCACCGCUAUAGGAUGGGGAUGCGUCUGAUUAGAUAGUCGGCGGGGUAACGGCCCACCGAGUCGACGAUCAGUAGGGGUUCUGAGAGGAAGGUCCCCCACAUUGGAACUGAGACACGGUCCAAACUCCUACGGGAGGCAGCAGUGAGGAAUGUUGGUCAAUGGGCGAGAGCCUGAACCAGCCAAGUAGCGUUGCAGGAUGACGGCCCUAUGGGUUGUAAACUGCUUUUAUACAGGGAUAAAGUGACGUACGUGUACGUUUUUGUAGGUACUGUAUGAAUAAGGACCGGCUAAUUCCGUGCCAGCAGCCGC